ACUCUGGAACUGCCAUCAAAACUUUUCAGCUAGAGUAUGAUAGAGGAAAGCAGAAUUUCUAGUGUAGAGGUGAAAUUCGUAGAUAUUAGAAAGAAUACCAAUUGCGAAGGCAGCUUUCUGGAUCAUUACUGACACUGAGGAACGAAAGCAUGGGUAGCGAAGAGGAUUAGAUACCCUCGUAGUCCAUGCCGUAAACGAUGUGUGUUAGACGUUGGAAAUUUAUUUUCAGUGUCGCAGGGAAACCGAUAAACACACCGCCUGGGGAGUACGACCGCAAGGUUAAAACUCAAAUGAAUUGACGGGGACCCGCACAAGUAGUGGAGCAUGUGGUUUAAUUCGAAGAUACGCGCAGAACCUUACCAACACUUGACAUGUUCGUCGCGACUCUAAGAGAUUAGAGUUUUCGGUUCGGCCGGACGAAACACAGGUGCUGCAUGGCUGUCGUCAGCUCGUGUCGUGAGAUGUUGGGUUAAGUCCCGCAACGAGCGCAACCCUCACUUUUAGUUGCCAUCAUUAAGUUGGGCACUCUGAAAGAACUGCCAGUGAUAAGCUGGAGGAAGGUGGGGAUGACGUCAAGUCCUCAUGGCCCUUACGUGUUGGGCUACACACGUGCUACAAUGGUAUCUACAACAGGAAGCAAGACUGCGAAGUUAAGCAAAUCCCUAAAAGAUACCUCAGUUCGGAUUGCACUCUGCAACUCGAGUGCAUGAAGCUGGAAUUACUAGUAAUCGUGGAUCAGCGUGCCACGGUGAAUGCGUUCCCGGGUCUUGUACACACCGCCCGUCACACCAUGGGAGUUGGUUCUACCUUAAGGCAAGGUUUCAAACCCUUGACCACGGUAUAGUCAGCGACUGGGGUGAAGUCGUAACAAGGUAGCCGUAGGGGAACCUGCGGCUG
This 897-nucleotide ribosomal RNA is filed under the name marine metagenome. RNAcentral's name for it is "bacterial SSU rRNA". It matches the Rfam family "Bacterial small subunit ribosomal RNA", at positions 612 to 1520 of the family's 1533-position model. The record is from RNAcentral.